CGGGGCCCGCUCGGGGCCGGGGCGCCUGCGGGGCCGGUGCUGCCGCCUGCGGGCGCCCGGGGAAGCGCAGCCGCCGGACGCCGGGGCUCCGGGCGGAAAGGGUCGGGACGCGCGAGGGCGCACACCACACCCAGCCCCGGGCCGGCCCUUUCCUCCUUCCUGGGGGGAAAGCCGGACGAACCCGAGGCCGGAAGGGGUGACUCUGCAGGAAGCACCCAUGCAACCACCGCAUCGGAGAGGGCCGGGCACUUUAUUCGAGGUCCCGCAGCUACUCACAGGCAGGACAGGGACUGGGGUCACCCAGGAGGUAUCUUCAGAUGCUGCCCUGCUGCCGGCCGGCCGGCUGUGUGAUCCCAGGGUUGACCGAUCUGGAUUCCUAGAAACUAACUUCAGAAGAUACACACUGUGACCGUUAGUCAUCCCAGUUCCAGCAGAUUUGCUGACCUUCAACCAUAGAACCAGGAUGACGUAGAACCGGGAUGAUGACGGAGACCAGGAAGAUGCAAACCAUCGCUUGGCCAUUUUCGAGAUCCUUGAAGGAAUGGAGUGUGCUGGCCUGCACCCCCCUCCCUUGACUUCUUUGUUCUGCUUUCCCUCUCCCUCCUCACAAAACCUCUGCGUGCUCUGAGAUCUCGAGAUGGGCUUUGUGACAAGAGCCCCCCAUCCUCUCCAGGUGCCGGCACUUGAA
Long non-coding RNA from Eptesicus fuscus (big brown bat), 688 nucleotides. RefSeq lists it as uncharacterized. The record is from RefSeq and is a predicted model, not a curated record. The transcript has 3 exons. Lineage: Eukaryota; Metazoa; Chordata; Mammalia; Chiroptera; Vespertilionidae.